GACGAACGCUGGCGGCGUGCCUAAUACAUGCAAGUAGAACGCUGAAGCUUGGUGCUUGCACCGAGCGGAUGAGUUGCGAACGGGUGAGUAACGCGUAGGUAACCUGCCUGGUAGCGGGGGAUAACUAUUGGAAACGAUAGCUGAUACCGCAUAAGAGUAGAUGUUGCAUGACAUUUGCUUAAAAGGUGCAAUUGCAUCACUACCAGAUGGACCUGCGUUGUAUUAGCUAGUUGGUGAGGUAACGGCUCACCAAGGCAACGAUACAUAGCCGACCUGAGAGGGUGAUCGGCCACACUGGGACUGGGACACGGCCCAGGCUCCUUCGGGGGGCAGCAGUAGGGAAUCUUCGGCAAUGGACGGAAGUCUUACCGAGCAACGCCGCGUGAGUGAAGAAGGUUUUCGGAUCGUAAAGCUCUGUUGUAAGAGAAGAACGAGUGUGAGAGUGGAAAGUUCACACUGUGACGGUAUCUUACCAGAAAGGGACGGCUAACUACGUG
RNAcentral lists this ribosomal RNA (497 nucleotides) under uncultured bacterium. Its description in RNAcentral is "partial 16S ribosomal RNA". It matches the Rfam family "Bacterial small subunit ribosomal RNA", at positions 28 to 507 of the family's 1533-position model. The record is from RNAcentral.